GACGAACGCUGGCGGCGUGCUUAACACAUGCAAGUCGAGCGGUAAGGCCUUUCGGGGUACACGAGCGGCGAACGGGAGAGUAACACGAGGGCGAGCGGCACUGCACCUCGGGAUAAGCCUGGGAAACUGGGACUAAUACUGGAAACGACCUCCUAUCGCAGGGGGGGGGGGGGAAAGAUUAAGCGGUGCAGGAUGGGCACGCGGCCGAUCAGCUUGUUGGUGGGGGAGUGGCCUACCAAGGCGACGACGGGUAGCCGACCUGAGAGGGUGACCGGCCACACUGGGACUGAGACACGGCCCAGACUCCUACGGGAGGCAGCAGUGGGGAAUAUUGCACAAUGGGCGGAAGCCUGAUGCAGCGACGCCGCGUGCGGGAUGACGGCCUUCGGGUUGUAAACCUCUUUCGGCAGGGACGAAGCGCGAGUGACGGUAACUGCAGAAGAAGCACCGGCUAACUACGUG
This 462-nucleotide ribosomal RNA is filed under the name uncultured bacterium. RNAcentral's name for it is "partial 16S ribosomal RNA". It matches the Rfam family "Bacterial small subunit ribosomal RNA", at positions 28 to 507 of the family's 1533-position model. The record is from RNAcentral.